Papaver somniferum (opium poppy) is the source of this 989-nucleotide long non-coding RNA. RefSeq lists it as uncharacterized. The record is from RefSeq and is a predicted model, not a curated record. NCBI's taxonomy places the organism in Eukaryota, Viridiplantae, Streptophyta, Magnoliopsida, Ranunculales, Papaveraceae. The transcript is spliced from 5 exons.
UCAUCGUCAUCAUCUGCACGAUUAAACUCUCUUUUUCUAUAAAUGAUAUCUCUCAUUGUAAUCAUUAUUAUUAUCUUUGAUAUUCUAUUCUUCACAAAUUACAGGGUUUCAAUUUUCUUACUUUAAGGCUUUUAUUCCUCGAUUUUUCUUACAAUAUUAAAUUAUAUUCUUAAGAAACCAAUCUCAUGAUAACAAUUUUAUUAAAUGGUGAGAAAUGAUGUGAAUUAGGUAGUUUUGAAUUCAUUUUAAUGAGAAUUUUUGGUAUUGCCGAGAAGCCAGCCGUGAAAACAAGCGAUGCCAUUAAAGACUACCAUUAAUGAGAAUUUUAAAUGCGGAAGACAAAGGUUUUAUAAGAGGGACUUUGGCGAAGCCUCGGGUCAGCUAAUAAAUUUGAGCAAAUCAGACUAUGCAAAUCAUCAAGAGUUUAAUUAUCAAAGGCAGUGGAGUAGUGGAUGCUCCCAUCUGGUCCUUAACUGACAAAGUGAAGGUGACGAAUCUCUUUCUCAUUUGUUUAUGGAAUGCAACUUCGCAAAACAGGCAAUACCAUUGAAGCUAGGGGAUAGUGGGAAAAUUGUAACACACGAAAACAGUUAGAAGAAGUAGGGGCUAAGGCAGCUUUCCAAUGGGCUUCAGAAUGGAGUGGCUACAAUGUGAUAUUCCAAAGUGACUCUAAGCCAAUACUCUUGUUGGUGAUAGAAAUGUACGCCAAAGCAAGGGAAAGAAGAUAUGAACAAAGCACCAACUUUGGGAGAAACUAUUAUUUUGAUAUCAACUUUAAAGCUUUAGCUUAUGUUUUACUUAGUAGAUAUGAUCUUAGAUAUCUCGUAAACCUUUCAGUUUUUUGUAAUAGGUUUUCCAUCCAACAUAGAUGGACAAACGAAAACCUAAAAGCUAUUAUGACAUUUCUAGAUAUUUACAGAUGGAAUGUCACCGUAACUGAUACUCUUCCCUACCUGAGGAGAAGAGUAGGUUCUAUAAAUGUACGAGGA